This 253-nucleotide ribosomal RNA is filed under the name uncultured bacterium. RNAcentral's name for it is "partial 16S ribosomal RNA". It matches the Rfam family "Bacterial small subunit ribosomal RNA", at positions 524 to 776 of the family's 1533-position model. The record is from RNAcentral.
UACGGAGGGUUCAAGCGUUGUACGGAAUUACUGGGCGUAAAGCGCGUGUAGGCGGUUGGAUAAGUGAGAUGUGAAAGACCACAGCUCAACUGGGGAAGUGCAUUCGAAACUAUUCAGCUUGAGUUCGGGAGAGGGAAGUGGAAGUCCCGGUGUAGAGGUGGAAUUCGUAGAUAUCGGGAAGAACACCGGAGGCGAAGGCGGCUUCCUGGACCGAUACUGACGCUAAGACGCGAAAGCGUGGGGAGCAAACAGG